Molecule: long non-coding RNA, 2290 nt
Organism: Anarrhichthys ocellatus (wolf-eel)
Lineage: Eukaryota; Metazoa; Chordata; Actinopteri; Perciformes; Anarhichadidae
Exons: 2
Source: RefSeq, a predicted model, not a curated record
GUAGAGGUACAACCAGUUGUAGAAGUACAGGUAAACUGGAGAGCAUGCUCAAUCUUCUCAGAUGUAUUCAGGGUAUUCUUCUUUUGAAUCAUCUUAUAAUUAGUUACAGCUGUAGUCACAACACAUAAACCAGAUACAGUAAAUUACAGCAUUUUCAUGUGUCCAUCUUAAUUUUGCAUCUCUUCAGAAUAAAAAAGUAUAGCUUUGCUCUGCAGGAGACACCAGCGGAAGUGCCAGUGCCAUGUGUUGUAGAAGUCAAGGUAAAUCAAAGGAGAGUUCUUAAUGUUGGGGUUUGGUCUUUUUUAGGGAGUGGAAUAAUCCUCUGAUUAAAUCACAUCACCAUGUUCUAAAUUGCAAAAAGAAAAUUGGCAUGUUCUUAUUCCUUUUUAUCUGCUCAGAGUGAAGAUAAUGUUGAACCCCAUGACACAGCAGAGCAGGUGGCACAGCCAGUAGAGCAGGUAUAUCAGCAGAAAGGGCUCGGGAAUAUUAAAUCUUAAUUUGCUUUGCUCUGCAUGCACCUCUGACAUGAUGUUGUACCAGAUGUACCAAAUAUUAUGUUAACCAAAAAUAAUCUUUCAUUUAUUUUCAGUCAACACACAUGCAAUUUGGCAUUUGCAGUCAUUAUUUUAUCAUGUUUUGAUUCAUUUAUUUUUAAAGGAUUUUAUCCAUUUUCAUCACCAGUUUUUGUAUCUGCAUUUAAAUUGAUGGGAAGACAAAUCAUUUUCCUUUCCUGCAGAUGGUGGAAGAGGUACCACAGCCUGUGGUAGAAGCUGAGGUAAAUUAAGGAAGUUCAACAUUUUGGGAUGUACGCUUAUAUGCUUUCUUGCCGAGAGUUAGAUGAGAAGAACACUCUCAUCUGUGUCUGUUAUGUAUGAGGCAUAGCAGCCGGUUAGCUUAUAGCUUAGCAUAAAGGCUUGAAACAGCUAGUCUGGCUAACAGCACGGCUCUGUCCGAGGGUAACAAGAUCCGCCUAUUGGCAGCUUUAAAGCUCACUAAUUAACACGUUAUAUAUUCUUUUUACUUUCCACUUUCAUUUUGUUGGAUUAACAAAGAAAAUAUAGUUUAUCUUGUUAAACAGUACAAUUUCCUUACUUUUGGACAGAGCCAGGCAAGUUGUUUCCAGCUGUUUCCAUUCUUUAUGUCAAGCUAAGCUAACCAUCUCCUGCAUCAUACAGUACAUAAAAGGGAUUAAAAAUGGUAUAAAUCUUCUCAUCAAUUGGCAAGACAGCAAAUAACCUUUUUUUCCCAACGUGUCAAACUAUUCAUUCAAAGGAGGAAUCUUCAGUGGAGACAUUCCCUUUCCUAUUUUCUUGUCUUUUUUUCCCUUCCAGACAAUAACCUUAUUUACUUUUGUGCAUGAUGUUGCGGGCUUCUUCACUUACAGGGACUGGUUCAUAUCAGAUUUUUCUGCCUCCUUUUCUGCUCUGAUCCUGCCUGGACUCUUCCUCCCCUUUUACCUCUUCUUUCACUUCACAGGUGGCAGCUGCUGCCCUUACUCUGUCAGCUUCAAUCCUGGUCCUGCCUUUAAAUGCGUAAAUACCUCAUAUGUAUUUUCUUCUCCGCCGUUUUGAUAAAAGAAGGUGGAUUCUUCAAAAGCUGACACUUUGGAGGCUGCAGCAAAGCCCGAAGCAAAGCCAGAACUGCCACAGCCUCUUAAGGAACUAAAGAAAACACUAUCUCGCUUUUCUCUCUUCAAGCCUAAAGUACUGUUAGACCACAUGACCACAAAAGUCCAGGCAGCCUCCACAAGUGGAGUUCGGCUCCUCAGGAGAACAACUGGAGUGGUAAAUACAGUAAAAUUACCUCUGGAGAAUAGAUGCAUUAUUAACCAGAGUCAUUUCAUUAAUACAUCUGGUAUUAAAACUGCUCUAAAACAACUUUUUUGGCAGAGGCAUUUUUCUCCAUUUGUUAUUAUAUUUAAAAAUCUUAACAGUGCUUCUAAACAUCCCUCAUAAUGUUGCAGUCACUAAGACACACUGGAUCCUAACAGCGGGCACAUCUUAAUGUCACUUAAAAUGUUACAUCUGAUCAUAACGAGCGGAGCACAUGCUCUAGGACUGGAAUAAUUCAGUUUUUCAUUAUGCGCAUUAUUCUGUUUUGUUGGCUUUUACUAACAAUACGAAUUCCCUCACUGUCCUGCAGACAGACAAGGACAAGGAUGCACCACCACAGCCAGCAGUAGAAGUAGAGGUACAACCAGUUGUAGAAGUACAGGUAAACUGGAGAGCAUGCUCAAUCUUCUCAGAUGUAUUCAGGGUAUUCUUCUUUUGAAUCAUCUUAUAAUUAGUUA